RNAcentral lists this ribosomal RNA (523 nucleotides) under uncultured bacterium. Its description in RNAcentral is "bacterial SSU rRNA". It matches the Rfam family "Bacterial small subunit ribosomal RNA", at positions 10 to 518 of the family's 1533-position model. The record is from RNAcentral.
AGUUUGAUUAUGGCUCAGGAUAAACGCUGGCGGCGUGCUUAACACAUGCAAGUCGAACGGAGUGGUUCUCCCGAGGAUUGACGGUGCUUGCACCUGAUUGGCUCAUUGAAUCACUUAGUGGCGGACGGGUGAGUAACGCGUGGGUAACCUGCCCUAUACUGGGGGAUAGCAGUUGGAAACGACUGAUAAUACCGCAUAAGCGCACAGUACCGCAUGGUACGGUGUGAAAAACUCCGGUGGUAUAGGAUGGACCCGCGUCUGAUUAGCUAGUUGGUGAGGUAACGGCCCACCAAGGCGACGAUCAGUAGCCGGCCUGAGAGGGUGUACGGCCACAUUGGGACUGAGACACGGCCCAAACUCCUACGGGAGGCAGCAGUGGGGAAUAUUGGACAAUGGGGGAAACCCUGAUCCAGCCGACGCCGCGUGAACGAUGAAGUAUCUCGGUAUGUAAAGUUCUAUCAGCAGGGAAGAUAAUGACGGUACCUGACUAAGAAGCACCGGCUAAAUACGUGCCAGCCGCGGC